GGAAGUGUCGACGUUUGACGGAGC
RNAcentral lists this non-coding RNA (24 nucleotides) under Arabidopsis thaliana (thale cress). Lineage: Eukaryota; Viridiplantae; Streptophyta; Magnoliopsida; Brassicales; Brassicaceae. The record is from RNAcentral.